GAAAACGAAUGUAUUUUACCUCAUAUAAAGUCGGGAAUAUGGCCCGAAAGUUUCUACCCGAUAACCGUAAAUUAUUGGACUAUGAGGGAAAGUAAUUUUCAG
RNAcentral lists this non-coding RNA (102 nucleotides) under Bacillus sp. (in: firmicutes). RNAcentral's name for it is "Bacillus sp. Guanine sequence". It matches the Rfam family "Purine riboswitch aptamer". Rfam says of the family: Riboswitches are metabolite binding domains within certain messenger RNAs that serve as precision sensors for their corresponding targets. Allosteric rearrangement of mRNA structure is mediated by ligand binding, and this results in modulation of gene expression. A class of riboswitches that selectively recognises guanine and becomes saturated at concentrations as low as 5 nM. The record is from RNAcentral. Lineage: Bacteria; Bacillati; Bacillota; Bacilli; Caryophanales; Bacillaceae.